UGGGGAAUAUUGCACAAUGGGGGAAACCCUGAUGCAGCAACGCCGUGUGAGUGAUGACGGCCUUCGGGUUGUAAAGCUCUGUCUUCAGGGACGAUAAUGACGGUACCUGAGGAGGAAGCCACGGCUAACUACGUGCCAGCAGCCGCGGUAAUACGUAGGUGGCAAGCGUUGUCCGGAUUUACUGGGCGUAAAGGGAGCGUAGGCGGACUUUUAAGUGAGAUGUGAAAUACCCGGGCUCAACCUGGGUGCUGCAUUUCAAACUGGAAGUCUAGAGUGCAGGAGAGGAGAGUGGAAUUCCUAGUGUAGCGGUGAAAUGCGUAGAGAUUAGGAAGAACACCCGUGUCGAAGGCGACUCUCUGGACUGUAACUGACGCUGAGGCUCGAAAGCGUGGGGAGCAAACA
This 402-nucleotide ribosomal RNA is filed under the name uncultured bacterium. Its description in RNAcentral is "bacterial SSU rRNA". It matches the Rfam family "Bacterial small subunit ribosomal RNA", at positions 355 to 774 of the family's 1533-position model. The record is from RNAcentral.